Long non-coding RNA from Zalophus californianus (California sea lion), 491 nucleotides. RefSeq lists it as uncharacterized. NCBI's taxonomy places the organism in Eukaryota, Metazoa, Chordata, Mammalia, Carnivora, Otariidae. The record is from RefSeq and is a predicted model, not a curated record. The transcript has 4 exons.
GCCAGCCUGGUAUUGGGCCAGGCCAGGAACCUGGGUUCACAGAAAUCCACAGAAGAGCCCAGUGCCUUGGAAGCUAGCCAACUCUGGGUUAGGCUGUGAUCCUGUCUUCACAGGAGCUCACUAGGAGCUCCUGUGCUAGAGUUUGCUGGUCUGCCUGUGCUAGAGCUUGCUGGUGCUGAGGUCUGCAGUGAAGUAGAAAACUUCACAUGGGUGUCAGUUGGAGGAGUUCAUUCAGAAUUUUACAUAACACCAGAGUUUCUGCUUCAGGAACUGCAACCAAAGCUUUCCAUUUCUGAGUCAGCCUUCAGACUCAAGCUGGAACAUCACCUCUGCUGGAUCUCUAGUCUGCCAGCCUACCCUACAGAUGUGGACUUGUCAGUUUCCAUAAUCAUAUAUUACCACAGCCACCUCAACUUUCAGCAACUACCACCCUGAUCAGCCAGCAGCCAACAACAUCAAAGCAAGACCCUCUACCAGCAAAAUGACUAUGA